UACGUAGGGUGCAAGCGUUAAUCGGAAUUACUGGGCGUAAAGCGCACGUAGGCGGAUCGUUAAGUCGGGGGUGAAAUCCUGGAGCUCAACUCCAGAACUGCCUUCGAUACUGGCGAUCUUGAGUCCGGAAGAGGUGAGUGGAACUCCUAGUGUAGAGGUGGAAUUCGUAGAUAUUAGGAAGAACACCAGUGGCGAAGGCGGCUCACUGGUCCGGUACUGACGCUGAGGUGCGAAAGCGUGGGGAGCAAACAGG
RNAcentral lists this ribosomal RNA (253 nucleotides) under uncultured bacterium. RNAcentral's name for it is "partial 16S ribosomal RNA". It matches the Rfam family "Bacterial small subunit ribosomal RNA", at positions 524 to 776 of the family's 1533-position model. The record is from RNAcentral.